UACGUAGGGGGCAAGCGUUGUCCGGAUUUAUUGGGCGUAAAGAGCGUGUAGGCGGCCUGACAGGUCUGCUGUGAAAACUCGAGGCUCAACCUCGAGAUGUCGGCGGAAACCGUCUGGCUAGAAUCCGGAAGAGGCGAGUGGAAUUCCUGGUGUAGCGGUGGAAUGCGCAGAUAUCAGGAGGAACACCAAUAGCGAAGGCAGCUCGCUGGGACGGUAUUGACGCUAAGGCGCGAAAGCGUGGGGAGCAAACAGG
RNAcentral lists this ribosomal RNA (253 nucleotides) under uncultured bacterium. RNAcentral describes it as "partial 16S ribosomal RNA". It matches the Rfam family "Bacterial small subunit ribosomal RNA", at positions 524 to 776 of the family's 1533-position model. The record is from RNAcentral.